This 77-nucleotide transfer RNA is filed under the name Clostridium fermenticellae. RNAcentral describes it as "tRNA-Arg". It matches the Rfam family "tRNA". Rfam says of the family: Transfer RNA (tRNA) molecules are approximately 80 nucleotides in length. The record is from RNAcentral. Lineage: Bacteria; Bacillati; Bacillota; Clostridia; Eubacteriales; Clostridiaceae.
GCAUCAGUAGCUCAGUUGGAUAGAGCAGUUGGCUACGAACCAGCGUGCCGGGGGUUCGAAUCCUCUCUGAUGCACCA